UACAGAGGUCUCGAGCGUUAGGCGGAAUCACUGGGCUUAAAGCGUGUGUAGGCGGAUCGUUAAGUACCUUGUGAAAUCCCACGGCUUAACCGUGGAACUGCUUGGUAUACUGGCGGUCUUGAGCCAGCUAGGGGCUACCGGAACAAAUGGUGGAGCGGUGAAAUGCGUAGAUAUCAUUUGGAACGCCAAUGGUGAAAACAGGUAGCUGGGGCUGUGCUGACGCUGAGGCACGAAAGCCAGGGGAGCAAACGGG
This 253-nucleotide ribosomal RNA is filed under the name uncultured bacterium. RNAcentral's name for it is "partial 16S ribosomal RNA". It matches the Rfam family "Bacterial small subunit ribosomal RNA", at positions 524 to 776 of the family's 1533-position model. The record is from RNAcentral.